RNAcentral lists this ribosomal RNA (506 nucleotides) under uncultured bacterium. Its description in RNAcentral is "partial 16S ribosomal RNA". It matches the Rfam family "Bacterial small subunit ribosomal RNA", at positions 28 to 523 of the family's 1533-position model. The record is from RNAcentral.
GAUGAACGCUAGCUACAGGCUUAACACAUGCAAGUCGAGGGGUAACGAGAGGGAAGCUUGCUUUCCUUGUCGACGACCGGCGCACGGGUGAGUAACGCGUAUCCAACCUGCCCCCAACUAAGGAAUAACCUUGCGAAAGUAAGACUAAUACCCUAUAAUUUCCUCAGAUGACAUCUGACGAGGAAUAAAGAUUUAUCGGUUGUGGAUGGGGAUGCGUCUGAUUAGCUUGUUGGCGGGGUAACGGCCCACCAAGGCAACGAUCAGUAGGGGUUUGGCAAGGAAGGUCCCCCACAUUGGAACUGAGACACGGUCCAAACUCCUACGGGAGGGAGCAGUGAGGAAUAUUGGUCAAUGGGCGGAAGCCUGAACCAGCCAAGUAGCGUGCAGGAUGACGGCCCUAUGGGUUGUAAACUGCUUUUAUACAGGAAUAAAGUUAGCCACGUGUGGUUAUUUGUAGGUACUGUAUGAAUAAGGACCGGCUAAUUCCGUGCCAGCAGCCGCCGUAA